RNAcentral lists this long non-coding RNA (737 nucleotides) under Helianthus annuus (common sunflower). Lineage: Eukaryota; Viridiplantae; Streptophyta; Magnoliopsida; Asterales; Asteraceae. The record is from RNAcentral.
AAGAGAAUCAAGCAAUUUUAGCAGUUUUAACAACAGAACAACUUUUCUUACAUUCCUGACUACCUGUAAUCACCACCAUAGUCACUACCAAACCUCAACUUCACCAUCUGAGGAUUCCUCUGCCGGAAUCCUAACCGCUCCAGACUGACUCAUGAAGGAACCCUAAAGCCGCCACUGUUGAGGCUUCGAUUUUUCCACCACCUACCACUGCUAUCGCCCCAAACAACAACAUCACUGACCUUUCGUCAUAUCAUGGUAGAAACCCUUGACCCGAUGGACUUUGAUGCUCCGAUUAAACCCUCACCGCGUUGCAGCGGAGUCGAUAAUACAGGCCGAGAACAUAAUUUAAGCCUAAAACGUUAAAAAUCAUAUAUACAUGUGUGUUUAUAUAAUACUUGGAAUGCCCGCACGUUGCGGCGAGAAACAUAUCACUUAGGUUGGUGAGUUUAGGGCUAUGUACAGGGAUGUAGUUUCUGAUGUGGCGUGCGGCGACGAUGGUGGCAGUGCCGUGCCGUGAGAAUAUUAAUCACCAGAAUGGUUUUAGAUUUGCAGCUAUGUACAGCCAAUUUUUGUUGAAGGUAAUAAUAUAACAUAUAAUUUUCCAUGCUGAAGUAAGAUGGGUUGCACAAGAGAAAAAAAACAUAAGAAUGAUAUCAUAUUGGCAUCUUUAUUGCCCCAAGUUAUACAACCACCGUACGACCACUUCAUGCAUCCAAUCCGCCUGUAACACCAAUUCC